This 429-nucleotide ribosomal RNA is filed under the name Chloroflexota bacterium. RNAcentral describes it as "Chloroflexi bacterium partial 16S ribosomal RNA". It matches the Rfam family "Bacterial small subunit ribosomal RNA", at positions 355 to 776 of the family's 1533-position model. Lineage: Bacteria; Bacillati; Chloroflexota. The record is from RNAcentral.
UGGGGAAUAUUGCACAAUGGGCGCAAGCCUGAUGCAGCCAUGCCGCGUGUGUGAAGAAGGCCUUCGGGUUGUAAAGCACUUUCAGCGGGGAGGAAGGCGUUAAGGUUAAUAACCUCGGCGAUUGACGUUACCCGCAGAAGAAGCACCGGCUAACUCCGUGCCAGCAGCCGCGGUAAUACGGAGGGUGCAAGCGUUAAUCGGAAUUACUGGGCGUAAAGCGCACGCAGGCGGUUUGUUAAGUCAGAUGUGAAAUCCCCGGGCUCAACCUGGGAACUGCAUCUGAUACUGGCAAGCUUGAGUCUCGUAGAGGGGGGUAGAAUUCCAGGUGUAGCGGUGAAAUGCGUAGAGAUCUGGAGGAAUACCGGUGGCGAAGGCGGCCCCCUGGACGAAGACUGACGCUCAGGUGCGAAAGCGUGGGGAGCAAACAGG